Molecule: ribosomal RNA, 207 nt
Filed under: uncultured bacterium
Lineage: Bacteria
Description: partial 16S ribosomal RNA
Rfam family: Bacterial small subunit ribosomal RNA
Source: RNAcentral
CGCGUAGGCGGUUUUGUAAGUUCCGCGUGAAAUCCCCCGGCUCAACCGGGGAAUGGCGUGGAAAACUGCGAGGCUUGAGUUCGGGAGAGGGAAGCGGAAUUCCGGGUGUAGCGGUGAAAUGCGUAGAUAUCCGGAGGAACACCGGUGGCGAAGGCGGCUUCCUGGACUGACACUGACGCUGAGGCGCGAAAGCUAGGGGAGCAAACG